Molecule: ribosomal RNA, 301 nt
Filed under: uncultured bacterium
Lineage: Bacteria
Description: partial 16S ribosomal RNA
Rfam family: Bacterial small subunit ribosomal RNA
Source: RNAcentral
CAGCAGCCGCGGUAAUACGAAGGGUGCAAGCGUUAAUCGGAAUUACUGGGCGUAAAGCGUGCGUAGGCGGUGAGUUAAGUCUGCUGUGAAAUCCCCGGGCUCAACCUGGGAAUGGCAGUGGAUACUGGCUCGCUAGAGUGUGUCAGAGGAUGGUGGAAUUCCCGGUGUGGCGGUGAAAUGCGUAGAGAUCGGGAGGAACAUCAGUGGCGAAGGCGGCCAUCUGGGACAACACUGACGCUGAGGCACGAAAGCGUGGGGAGCAAACAGGAUUAGAUACCCGUGUAGUCCCUGUCUCUUAUAC